This 509-nucleotide ribosomal RNA is filed under the name Fontidessus toboganensis. RNAcentral's name for it is "partial 16S ribosomal RNA". The stretch from base 386 to 509 matches the Rfam family "Bacterial large subunit ribosomal RNA", at positions 2473 to 2597 of the family's 2925-position model. The record is from RNAcentral. Lineage: Eukaryota; Metazoa; Arthropoda; Insecta; Coleoptera; Dytiscidae.
GUCCUUUAGAUUAGAAUUUAAGGUCUGGUCUGCUCACUGAAAUUUAUUUAAAUAGCCGCAGUAAAUUGACUGUGCAAAGGUAGCAUAAUCAUUAGUUUUUUAAUUGAAAGCUUGUAUGAAUGGUCGGACGAGACAUAAUCUGUCUCUUAUUUAUAAAUAGAAUUUAAUUUUUAAGUUAAAAAGCUUAAAUUUUUAUAAAAGACGAGAAGACCCUAUAGAUCUUUAUAUAAAUAUUUAUUUAUUUUUUUAGGAUUUUUAAUUUUUAGAUAAAUAAUUGUAUUUUGUUGGGGUAAUAGGAAGAUUUAAUCAAUUCUUUUUAAAAUUAACAUUAAUUUUUGAUUAUUAAGAUCCAAUAUUUUUGAUUAUAAGAUUAAGUUACCUUAGGGAUAACAGCGUAAUUUUUUUUGAGAGUUCAUAUCGAUAAAAAAGUUUGCGACCUCGAUGUUGGAUUAAAAUUAAUUUUAGGUGUAGUAGUUUAAAGUUUUAGUCUGUUCGACUAUUAAAAUUUU